This 1556-nucleotide unclassified non-coding RNA is filed under the name Hevea brasiliensis (rubber tree). Lineage: Eukaryota; Viridiplantae; Streptophyta; Magnoliopsida; Malpighiales; Euphorbiaceae. The record is from RNAcentral.
GAACUGCAAAGGAAUACAAAGCUGUAAUAUCAAAGAUUAGCAAGACUAAUCCUUUCUAGGGCCAGAGUUAUGUACAUAUAAUAGCUUUAGAACACAUCGUUUAUGGCUAACAUAACAGAAUUCCUAUGAACUAAAACCUUGACUAACAAACAUGUUUCAGAUACUUCUAUGCUGGCACCCAACACGAGCUAGCGCAUACUACCCGGCCUUUCCAACCCUGUAACAUCCAUUUACCAUCCUCAUCAAACACAAAAUCGCGGAGGUAUCCAGCCUUUACCUUGCACCUUAACUUCUGCACGAGUUGUUGGUUCAACGGAAGAAUCUUGAAUCCAGCCCUCAUAUUGCGAACCUGCCAUUGCUUGUACGUCUCAGGCCUCUCAACCCUCUCGGAACCCUCACAAGCAAUGACAUUCAUUGCCUCGCGUCUGUAAAAUUCUUGUUCAAAAUGCAACCUCUUCUGAUCACCACGGGGUAAGGUAGCAUCAAACAUGUCAAAGAGAGUUGAGUAAUGGAAGAGGGCCUCCCUGAAGCGAGUGACAAAGAAGGGUGCACUGUAAGAUCCAUUGAUUACAGCUUGCACGAAGAUAUCCGGAUUCAUCUUUCUAAUUAAGCCCAGAACUGCAUCCCUUGGACUGUCCAACAUCACUGUCUCAUCCAACAGGUUCUUAAAACGAAAAAGACAGUUCACAGCAACAGUCUCACCACUUGCAAGUUUCAAGUCCUCAAGUUUGAUGUUCUCCCAAUUCUGUGUUGCUAUGGCAUUAUAUUCAAAUGGUACUUUAAAGCGCUCACAAUAUUUUGCCAAUCGGCUCCCUGUCUGUUCUAAGCUUUCUGCCGGCCUGAAUCCAGGUUGGGGAAGGUCUAUUCCAGUAAUGCGAAGCUUUGGAGGCCCAUCAGGUAUCUCUGAGAGAAGCUGGAUGAGUAUUGGCCACUGGAAACCAUAUAGUAUACCAAAAUCUAUGAGAUGCAAUGUCCUGGCAUUAGAUGCUGUGUAGAAGAUCAUUUUAUUCGCAAAGAAUAUUGAUAUUUUCUUGAACGGGCAUGCCGAAAGAUAAACCUGGUAUGCUUUCAAUUUCUCAGCAGCUGUAAUCUUUUUCGGAGCAAGGGCAGCAUAUAUUUGAGUGCCAGUGCCAGCCAACCGGGCUUCAAGGCCAUCCGCAAAUACACUGGCCAGCCUUUGGUAUGCAUCACCAAUGGAAGAACAAUGCUGCCUGAUCUGCUUUAGCUGUUCAUAUGCUGUCCUGCGAUCGUCAGCAGCAACAGACUGUGCACAGCUAACUAAGAGAGUCCUUAGAUCCACAGCUUCAUUUUUAGUCCCUUGUUUCUUUGCACGAGUGUUUCCACCAUUUGAUCCAUGUGCUUGUCCAUUCUGGUCUAAACUAUUGUCUACUGGCAUUUCACACUUGACAUCACCACAUAUUGUCUCACCUUUAUCUGUACAGAGCAGAACCCUGUCAAACAUCUCUGAUAACUCAGCCUCCUCCUCCACAUAUAUUGCUGAUUGUUUGUUGCUCCUUUCAUCUUCAAAAUCACUGUCCUCAGGAUACUGAUGUUUU